GAUUAAGAACGUAGCGAAAUGCGAUAAGUAAUGUGAAUUGCAGAAUUCAGUGAAUCAUCGAAUCUUUGAACGCACCUUGCGCUCUUUGGUAUUCCGAAGAGCAUGCCUGUUUGAGUGUCAUGAAAAUAUCAACCUUGACUUGGGUUUUGUGCUCUAGUCUCGGCUUGGAAUUGGGUGCUUGCCGCUUUUACGAGCGGCUCACCUUAAAUGUAUUAGCUGGAUCUGUCUUUGAGACUUGGUUUGACUUGGCGUAAUAAGUAUUUCGCUAAGGACAUUCUUCGGAGUGGCCUCGUUUCUAGGACGCUUGUCCGCUUUCCAAUACAAGUUCCACCUCGUGGACAUGACUUUUUAUUAUCUGGCCUCAAAUCAGGUAGGACUACCCGCUGAACUUAAGCAUAUCAAUAAGCGGAGGA
RNAcentral lists this unclassified non-coding RNA (413 nucleotides) under soil metagenome. RNAcentral's name for it is "partial contains 5.8S ribosomal RNA, internal transcribed spacer 2, and large subunit ribosomal RNA". The stretch from base 1 to 120 matches the Rfam family "5.8S ribosomal RNA", at positions 35 to 154 of the family's 154-position model. The record is from RNAcentral.